GAUGAACGCUAGCUACAGGCCUAACACAUGCAAGUCGAGGGGCAGCAUGGGAGAAGCUUGCUUUUCCCGAUGGCGACCGGCGAAUGGGUGAGUCACGCGUGUCCAACCUGCCCCCGGCCCGGGGAUAGCCCUUGGAAAUGAGGAUUAAGACCCGAUACGUGGCGUUUCCGCAUGGCGGCGCCAUGAAACCGGCAGGGGAUGGGGACGCGUCGGAUUAGCUUGACGGCGGGGCGACGGCCCACCGUGGCGACGAUCCGCAGGGGUUCUGAGAGGAAGGUCCCCCACACUGGCACUGAGACACGGGCCAGACUCCUACGGGAGGCAGCAGUGAGGAAUAUUGGUCAAUGGCCGAGAGGCUGAACCAGCCAAGUAGCGUGCAGGACGACGGCCCUACGGGUUGUAAACUGCUUUUGCGGGAGGAUAAAGGACGCCACGUGUGGCGUUUUGCAGGUAUCCCGUGAAUAAGGACCGGCUAAUUCCGUGCCAGCAGCCGCGGUAAUACGGAAGGUCCGGGCGUUAUCCGGAUUUAUUGGGUUUAAAGGGAGCGCAGGCGGGCCUGCCAAGCGUGCCGUGAAAGCGCGGGGCUCAACCCCGUAGAGCGGCGCGAACUGGCGGCCUUGGUUGCGGGAAGGGGAGGCGGAACUCGUGGUGUAGCGGUGUAAAUGCAUAGAUAUCACGAAGGAACUCCAGAUCGCGAAGGCAGCCUCCCUGGCCCGUGAACUGACGCUCAUGGCUCGAAGGCGCGGGGAUCAAAUAGGAUUAGAUACCCCUAGUAGUCCACGCCGUAAACGUUGAAUACUAAGUGUCGGAGUUAUUCGGUGCUGAAGUUAACACAUUAAGUAUUCCACCUGAGUAGUACGGUCGCAAGGCUGAAACUCAAAGGAAUUGACGGGCACCCGCACAAGCGGUGGAGCAUGCUGUUUAAUUCGAAGAUACGCGAAGAACCUUACCUGGGCUUGACAUCCCACUGACCGUCUUAGAGAUAAGAUUUUCCCUUCGGGGACAGUGGUGACAGGUGGUGCAUGGUUGUCGUCAGCUCGUGUCGUGAGAUGUUCGGUUAAGUCCGAUAACGAGCGCAACCCUUAUCAUUAAUUGCUAACAUUCAGUUGAGAACCUUAAUGAUACUGCCGGUGACAAACCGGAGGAAGGUGGGGAUGACGUCAAAUCAUCAUGCCCCUUACGUCCAGGGCUACAGGCGUGCUACAAUGGCUGGUAUAAUAAGACGCAAGACCGCGAGGUUGAGCAAAUCUCUAAAGCCAGUCCCAGUCCGGAUUGGAGUCUGCAACUCGACUCCAUGAAGUUGGAAUCGCUAGUAAUCCCGAAUCAGAAUGUCGGGGUGAAUACGUUCCCGGGUGUUGUACACACCGCCCGUCACGCCAUGGGAGUCGGUAAUACCCGAAGGUGGUAGCCUAACCCGCAAGGGAGGGGGCCAAUUAAGGUAGGACCGGUGACUGGGGUG
Molecule: ribosomal RNA, 1459 nt
Filed under: uncultured rumen bacterium
Lineage: Bacteria
Description: partial 16S ribosomal RNA
Rfam family: Bacterial small subunit ribosomal RNA
Source: RNAcentral